Molecule: transfer RNA, 60 nt
Filed under: Myrsidea sp. ADS-2020
Lineage: Eukaryota; Metazoa; Arthropoda; Insecta; Psocodea; Menoponidae
Description: tRNA-Asp
Source: RNAcentral
UAAGAUUUAGUUUAUAUAUAUAAAAACAUUAAUUUGUCAAAUUAAAGAAGAAUAUCUUAG